UUAAAUACUUCACUUAAAAAUAAUUAAUACUUGGAAUGAUACAGAGAAGAUUAGCAUGGCCCCUGUGUAAGGAUGACAGGAAAAAAAAAAUACUGUGUUUUAAAUGUUU
Small nuclear RNA from Chlorocebus sabaeus (green monkey), 109 nucleotides. NCBI's taxonomy places the organism in Eukaryota, Metazoa, Chordata, Mammalia, Primates, Cercopithecidae. The record is from Ensembl.